UUCCGGUACAUUGGACAAUUGGACAUUUCCGAAGAAAUUGAGUUUUGGGCUUUGGGUCGGAAAGAGAAACCAAGUCUGCCUGAAUAUUACCGAGUGUUCACGGACGGCUCAAGUUGGUCACGGGUUCUCUUCUUACUGAGCUUUGGGUACCGAAUGGCAAUCAACACCUUAAGGACCCAGGCUUCCAAGUUUGCCAGUUUUUUGUCAAAAAUAGUCUCUUUUGUGUGCCGGUUUCUUGCGGUUGAAAAAAUCACAAAGUGGAUCGCAGAUCAUGGUGGAUGGCGAGCUGCCUUGAGCUUUGUUCCAGGUGCCUCUUCCAACAUGUUUGUUUUGAUCUCAGGACUGGCAGCUCUCUCAGUGCUAGCUGUGUUUGCCCUGCACAAGUACCUGCAUUGACCCUGGGCGCAUUAUAAUUGUUUAAUUGUAAUUCAUACAGAAAAGUUAAAAAGACUUGUCUAAUUAAGACUGUUUUGCUGUUUUUAAAUUUAGAGACAUGAGUUUUUGAGAUAACAAUAACAAUACAGAUUUGUUAUUUCUGACACAGUUGAAGUUAAGAGGUUUGAGCUAUGUUGUAUUGUUUUGGUUUUUGUUAUUUUUUGUUUUUACUUGUAUUGUAAAGGGGAAUGUCACAUAGUUCUUAUAUAUUUAAAUUGUUAGAGGAUUUUUUUUUUCUACCAAACUUGCAAAUGUGACUUUUCCAGUAUUUAUUGUAACGUCCUUGCUCGUAUGCUGCAUUGUCUUUGCUGGUAGUGAGCAAGUUACUUGGAAAUGGAAGUUUUCUGAAUUGCACAAUUACUGCCCAGCCUGCUUCUUGUCUGUUGUAAUCUAUGUUUAUGUUAGAAAGGGUAGCUAUUAUAUUAUUAACAAUAUUCUUGCUGAUUUGCCAAAAAGCUCUCCUGUUUUCACUUGCACCAUAUUAUGUUAUGGUGCUGAUAUUUUUUUUGCUCUUGUUUCUUACAUGAAUGUCCUUCCAUACUUAAAUGGUAUUAUUGUAGUUUUCUUUAUGAUAGUAUCAACAUCUCUCCAAUUUUGAAACAGCAGCUUUUUGGUCACAAAUUAAUAGAUUUUCUUGAAAUAAGAUUUUACUUAACUGGAAACAUCUCGGUUAGGAAGGUCAUAAGGUGGCUGCUUCUUCCCGUGUUACCAUCAAAUGGAGCUAAAAAUGAAAUUGUGUGUGUUUCCUUCCUUGCUUUCUUAAAGAGCACAUUGGAUGCAUAUAUAAAGACUACGAGACUUUUCAUCAAAGCAAUUUUUUUUUAAAGGGGAGGGAGAGGGUUGUUUUAUGGCAAAGGAAACUGUUUGGUGAUUUCAUCAGCUGGACAUAGAGAUUGAUAUCUUCAACAAGUACAACAGCAUUGUCUUUUCCUUGCUCAAGAUGGAUGUAUGGCAACUGACAUACCUGAUUUACUUUCUAGGAGGAAAACUUUAUUACUUCUGUUGUUUUUAUUAUGAGAAUUGAUAAUCAUCCGGCUCUUCUGUCAAACUUGGAGCCAUCAGGCAGCAGCAGAAGUACUUGUCUGAGUAUUUUUCUAGUGUAUGUGUGUUGAUGUCUGGAAGUUAGCUGGGUUUUUUAUUUUUAAGGGUUAAAAUGUUAUAGUUUUCUUGGCAAUUAGUUGAGCCUAUGGAAAAGAGCCUGUACAGUGUUCUUUAUUGAGGUGGGGUUUUUUAAAAUAAUUUUAUUGUUAAUGACAGCAGCGAUUUGUCAAGCGUUACUUUCAGGUCUGUUUGAAGAUUAUGCGGUAGUUAUAGUUUUGUUUGUGUAUGAACUUAAUUUUUACAAAGUUUUUGUCUGUGGCAGUGAAAGUUCUGUGUAUGCCACAGUCACUCCUCCCAUUCAUUGAUGAGAGGGAGGACAUGAAAGAGAUAUAUUCGAUUCUUUGUCUUUCCACGUGUUUACUUGUUUAAUGAAAGACAGCUAUAUAUAUAUAUUUAUGUUCCAUUUUUAAACAUCUUGAGCUCAUAAUUUUCAUUCCAGUGAGAAGGCUAGCCAGAAGUCUCUAUGUGAGGGUGGCCUUUGAUACGCUUAUUCUGUAGGUUGCCAUAACAUGAAGGUUAUGGUCAUUGUCAUGGGGAUAAAGGCUUUUUCCUGGAAAAAAAUAUAACGUUUUCACGUACAGUGCUGUGUAAAAAUAUAGUGGGGUGUAUUUUGUUUAUAUAGUUUUGUGCAGCUCUAUGUGAAUAUGAAUAUCAUAAGAUUGUGUCUUGUGAGUGUAAGUAUUGGCCAAAAGGAAUCACCCUUUUUAAAAAAUUUAUUUGCUUUUUGGAGUUGUUUUUUUUUGGGGGGGGGGGGGGGGUUGUUGUUUUUUACUUUCAGAGUUUUUUGUGGAGUUUUUUUCUUCCCCAAAUUAAAUUCUACUGUUGAUUUUCCUGACUUUUCAUUUUGAAAUGUCACAUGAGUAUGACAGCCUUGUCAAUCAAAGAGUGGGGAAUGACUGAUCAGCUUCUUAGUGUAAGACUCUGCCAUGUGCCAUUUUGAAAAGUGACGUAUGAUGGAAUCUUCCACUGAGCAGUUAGAUACAGUCUUGUCUUGCAUGGGUGCUGGGUCAACUCUGUAACUCUCAAGGAUGUCACUGAGCCGCCUCAUUUUAUGUCUUCACUUGUUCAUCUUUUGAUGCUAUUACAUGUACUUCUUACCACUUAUAGCAAAAGUUCUUGUUAUUUGCCCGUAAGUCAACACUGUAGAACACUUCUCAUUUUGCAUUUUGUGUACAGUUUGGUUUAUUUGGAGGUUGAUUGGACUGUUUUUCAGUCAGUGGUGAUGUUGAAAAGGAAUUUUUUUUAAUGAAAAUUGAAAAAAAAAGAAAGGAAGAGAAUUCCACCCUCUCUUAUUUAAUUUUAAAAGAAAACUUUUUAAAAGUAUUGUUUUGUCUCACAUUUAAGGUCCGCGCUAACUUAUGGUCUCUGGUCCCCUA
Molecule: long non-coding RNA, 2912 nt
Organism: Aplysia californica (California sea hare)
Lineage: Eukaryota; Metazoa; Mollusca; Gastropoda; Aplysiida; Aplysiidae
Product: bcl-2 homologous antagonist/killer
Source: RefSeq, a predicted model, not a curated record